ACACUCCUGCGGGAGGCAGCAGUGGGGAAUUUUGGACAAUGGGCGAAAGCCUGAUCCAGCAAUGCCGCGUGAGUGAAGAAGGCCUUCGGGUUGUAAAGCUCUUUUGUCAGGGAAGAAACGGUGAAAGCUAAUAUCUUUUGCUAAUGACGGUACCUGAAGAAUAAGCACCGGCUAACUACGUGCCAGCAGCCGCGGUAAUACGUAGGGUGCAAGCGUUAAUCGGAAUUACUGGGCGUAAAGCGUGCGCAGGCGGUUUUGUAAGUCUGAUGUGAAAUCCCCGGGCUCAACCUGGGAAUUGCAUUGGAGACUGCAAGGCUAGAAUCUGGCAGAGGGGGGUAGAAUUCCACGUGUAGCAGUGAAAUGCGUAGAUAUGUGGAGGAACACCGAUGGCGAAGGCAGCCCCCUGGGUCAAGAUUGACGCUCAUGCACGAAAGCGUGGGGAGCAAACAGGAUUAGAUACCCGGGUAGUCCCA
RNAcentral lists this ribosomal RNA (473 nucleotides) under uncultured organism. Its description in RNAcentral is "partial 16S ribosomal RNA". It matches the Rfam family "Bacterial small subunit ribosomal RNA", at positions 333 to 797 of the family's 1533-position model. The record is from RNAcentral.